UCCCUCAUAGCUCAGUUGGUAAAUCAUCUGCCUGCGAUGUAGGAGACCCAGGUUCAAUUCCUGGGUUGGGAA
Molecule: transfer RNA, 72 nt
Filed under: Bos taurus (domestic cattle)
Lineage: Eukaryota; Metazoa; Chordata; Mammalia; Artiodactyla; Bovidae
Also listed under: 3 other names
Rfam family: tRNA
About the family: Transfer RNA (tRNA) molecules are approximately 80 nucleotides in length. Their secondary structure includes four short double-helical elements and three loops (D, anti-codon, and T loops).
Source: Rfam by way of RNAcentral